Small nuclear RNA from Gopherus agassizii (Agassiz's desert tortoise), 202 nucleotides. Its record names the gene U4. It matches the Rfam family "U4 spliceosomal RNA". Rfam says of the family: U4 small nuclear RNA (U4 snRNA) is a component of the major U2-dependent spliceosome. The structure of U4 snRNA from yeast and human has been reported. Lineage: Eukaryota; Metazoa; Chordata; Testudines; Testudinidae. The record is from Ensembl.
UGCUUUGCACAGUGUCAGUAUCGUAGCUAAUGAGGUUAAUCCGAGGCGCAAUUAUUGCUAGUUGAAAACUUUUCAAGCAAGGAUGGGUAAACUGGUUCAGGAAAAAUAAAAGCCCCUGGUUUCCAAACUGUCAGCACUUCACAGGCUUGGCUGGGUACUGAGAGAAAGCCUAGUCCCAGGAAAUUUUUCAACCCAAUUUUGC